Molecule: ribosomal RNA, 253 nt
Filed under: uncultured bacterium
Lineage: Bacteria
Description: partial 16S ribosomal RNA
Rfam family: Bacterial small subunit ribosomal RNA
Source: RNAcentral
UACGGCGGGUGCGAGCGUUGUCCGGAAUCACUGGGCGUAAAGGGCGCGUAGGCGGCUCAUGAAGGCUGUGGUGAAAGUCGGGGGCUCAACCCUCGGAUGCCGGUGGAUACUGUCGGGCUUGAGUACGGAAGAGGCGAGUGGAAUUCCUGGUGUAGCGGUGAAAUGCGCAGAUAUCAGGAGGAACACCAAUUGCGAAGGCAGCUCGCUGGGACGUUACUGACGCUGAGACGCGAAAGCGUGGGGAGCAAACAGG